RNAcentral lists this ribosomal RNA (255 nucleotides) under uncultured bacterium. RNAcentral's name for it is "partial 16S ribosomal RNA". It matches the Rfam family "Bacterial small subunit ribosomal RNA", at positions 524 to 776 of the family's 1533-position model. The record is from RNAcentral.
UACGUAGGGUGCAAGCGUUGUCCGGAAUUAUUGGGCGUAAAGAGCUCGUAGGCGGUUCGUCACGUCGGCUGUGAAAUCCCGAGGCUCAACCUCGGGUCUGCAGUCGAUACGGGCGGACUUGAGUACUGCAGGGGGAGACUGGAAUUCCUGGUGUAGCGGUGGAAUGCGCAGAUAUCAGGAGGAACACCGGUGGCGAAGGCGGGUCUCUGGGCCGAUACUGACGCUGAGGAGCGAAAGCGUGGGGGAGCGAACAGG